GAUGAACGCUAGCGGCAGGCUUAAUACAUGCAAGUCGAGGGGCAUCAAGGUACACGAAAGUGUAUUGUUGGCGACCGGCGGACGGGUGAGUAAUAGGUAGGUAACCUACCUCAUACUGAGGCAUAGCUGGGAGAAAUUCCAGGUAAUUCCUCAUGAGGUUAUAUGACACAUGUGAUAUAAUCAAAGGUAUCGCAAGGUACUGGUAUGAGAUGGGCUUACUGACCAUUAGCUAGUUGGUGAGAUAAGAGCUCACCAAGGCGAAGAUGGUUAGGGGUUUUGAGAGAGAGAUCCCCCACAUUGGAACUGAGAUACGGUCCAGACUCCUACGGGAGGCAGCAGUAGGGAAUAUUGGGCAAUGGGCGGAAGCCUGACCCAGCCAUGCCGCGUGAAGGAAGACGGCCUUAUGGGUUGUAAAACUUCUUUACUAUGCGACUAACUAGAUUUACGAGAUAAUUCUAUAGAAUGUAGCAUAGCAAAAGCACCGG
RNAcentral lists this ribosomal RNA (485 nucleotides) under uncultured bacterium. RNAcentral's name for it is "bacterial SSU rRNA". It matches the Rfam family "Bacterial small subunit ribosomal RNA", at positions 28 to 496 of the family's 1533-position model. The record is from RNAcentral.